This is a small nucleolar RNA of Apodemus sylvaticus (European woodmouse), 131 nucleotides long. RefSeq annotates it as small nucleolar RNA SNORA17. The record is from RefSeq and is a predicted model, not a curated record. Lineage: Eukaryota; Metazoa; Chordata; Mammalia; Rodentia; Muridae. The transcript has a single exon.
CCUGCCCCUAGAGGUGUUACAAAUGUAGAUACCGUGUCACCUGUACUUCAGUAGGUGACAAAGAGGGGAAGUCUAUGUCUGUGCACAGUGUUCUCACCUAUGAACAUCUGAAUGAUUAGUAGCCUAACAUU